Molecule: long non-coding RNA, 701 nt
Filed under: Panax ginseng (ginseng)
Lineage: Eukaryota; Viridiplantae; Streptophyta; Magnoliopsida; Apiales; Araliaceae
Description: long non-coding RNA (PGIN_LNC006410)
Source: RNAcentral
AAAUAUUCUAAAUAUUAGUUCUUCAUUAAAAAAAUUCAAUAUAUGACUUGGUAAUGGUAACGUGGAAAAGAAUUAAAUGUCUAAGUAUCACUGAAGUUGAACGCCAAAUAGCUUGGUACAAUUACGAAUUCCCUUGUUUAAAUGUUGAUAUUUUUCAAUUUUAUAAAUAUACAGUGAGAUGGAAGUGAAAUGGCAUGUUUAGGUCAGUAAUCACAAUCAUAGAUAAAAAAAAACUAGUAGUAUUAUAGUCUAAUGUCUAAGGUUUACAAAUCCAUGUUUGAAAUUCCAAUACAAUAUAUUUACAGUGGCAGGCAUAUUAUAGACACUAUGGCAGGCAUAAAGGACAAAAUAGAUAAACUCAAGGAGAGGCCCAAAAGCCCAAAGCCCAUUAACGAAUUGGAUCAACAUCAUCAUACAUACUAUUUAAUAUAUAAAACAAAGCAUAGAUGAGUGUUGUGUUGCCAUACUUUGUGUAUUUGUUGGAAGAGGCCAGAAAAGCCAAAUAACAACAACACGUGUAGGGUGAAAAGAAGGGACACGCACCUUCUGCAUACUGUUGAAGCCAUAAGUCCAUCCAGGUCCAGCUAUCAUCUUUCUCUCUUGUCCACUCGAUUCUGUUGUGCAGAAGCAAUUCAUUGCAAGGCUUUAAGCAAGGCUUUCUUAUAUUAAAUCAUCUUAGCUCCGCCACGGCGCCCCCCCGC